RNAcentral lists this ribosomal RNA (440 nucleotides) under uncultured bacterium. RNAcentral's name for it is "partial 16S ribosomal RNA". It matches the Rfam family "Bacterial small subunit ribosomal RNA", at positions 338 to 795 of the family's 1533-position model. The record is from RNAcentral.
CCUACGGGAGGCUGCAGUGGGGGAUAUUGCACAAUGGGGGAAACCCUGAUGCAGCGACGCCGCGUGUGGGAAGACGGUCCUCUGGAUUGUAAACCACUGUCCCCAGGGACGAAGAUGACGGUACCUGGGUAGGAAGCUCCGGCUAACUACGUGCCAGCAGCCGCGGUAAUACGUAGGGAGCGAGCGUUGUCCGGAAUCACUGGGUGUAAAGGGAGCGUAGGCGGGGAUGCAAGUUGGGGGGCAAAACUCCCGGCUCAACUGGUAGUCGCACUCAAAACUGCAGCGCUUGAGUGAAGUAGAGGCAGGCGGAAUUCCUAGUGUAGCGGUGAAAUGCGUAGAUAUUAGGAGGAACACCAGUGGCGAAGGCGGCCUGCUGGGCUUUUACUGACGCUGAGGCUCGAAAGUGUGGGGAGCAAACAGGAUUAGAUACCCUAGUAGUC